UACGGGGGGAGCAAGCGUUGUUCGGAUUUACUGGGCGUAAAGGGCGCGUAGGCGGCCAGCGCAAGUCAGUUGUGAAAUCUCCGGGCUUAACUCGGAACGGUCAACUGAUACUGCGCGGCUAGAGUGCGGAAGGGGCAACUGGAAUUCUCGGUGUAGCGGUGAGAUGCGUAGAUAUCUGGAGGAACAACAGAGGCGAAGGCGACCUUCUGGACUGUUACUGACACUGAGAUGCGAAAGCGUGGGGAGCAAACAGG
This 254-nucleotide ribosomal RNA is filed under the name uncultured bacterium. RNAcentral's name for it is "partial 16S ribosomal RNA". It matches the Rfam family "Bacterial small subunit ribosomal RNA", at positions 524 to 776 of the family's 1533-position model. The record is from RNAcentral.